CCUACGGGUGGCAGCAGUGAGGAAUAUUGGUCAAUGGACGAGAGUCUGAACCAGCCAAGUAGCGUGAAGGAUGACUGCCCUAUGGGUUGUAAACUUCUUUUAUAUGGGAAUAAAAUGUUCCACGUGUGGGAUUUUGUAUGUACCAUAUGAAUAAGGAUCGGCUAACUCCGUGCCAGCAGCCGCGGUAAUACGGAGGAUCCGAGCGUUAUCCGGAUUUAUUGGGUUUAAAGGGAGCGUAGGUGGGUUGUUAAGUCAGUUGUGAAAGUUUGCGGCUCAACCGUAAAAUUGCAGUUGAAACUGGCAGUCUUGAGUACAGUAGGGGUAGACGGAAUUCGUGGUGUAGCGGUGAAAUGCUUAGAUAUCACGAAGAACUCCGAUUGCGAAGGCAGUUCACUGGAGUGAAACUGACACUGAGGCUCGAAAGUGUGGGUAUCAAACAGGAUUAGAUACCCGGGUAGUC
RNAcentral lists this ribosomal RNA (460 nucleotides) under uncultured bacterium. RNAcentral describes it as "partial 16S ribosomal RNA". It matches the Rfam family "Bacterial small subunit ribosomal RNA", at positions 338 to 795 of the family's 1533-position model. The record is from RNAcentral.